GAUGAAGAACGUAGCGAAAUGCGAUACGUAGUGUGAAUUGCAGAAUUCAGUGAACCAUCGAAUCUUUGAACGCACAUUGCACCUCUCGGUAUUCCGGGAGGUAUGCCUGUUCGAGCGUCAUUUGUACCCUCAAGCUCUGCUUGGUGUUGGGUGUUUGUUCCGCCUCUGUGUGUGAACUCGCCUCAAAACAAUUGGCAGCCGGCGUACUUGUUUCGGAGCGCAGCACAUUUUGCGAUCCAGAUCAACGUACAGCGGCAUCCAAGAAGCCUUAUUUAACGCUCUUGACCUCGGAUCAGGUAGGGAUACCCGCUGAACUUAAGCAUAUCAAUAAGCGGAGGA
Molecule: unclassified non-coding RNA, 339 nt
Filed under: soil metagenome
Description: partial contains 5.8S ribosomal RNA, internal transcribed spacer 2, and large subunit ribosomal RNA
Rfam family: 5.8S ribosomal RNA (bases 1-120)
Source: RNAcentral